This 447-nucleotide ribosomal RNA is filed under the name uncultured marine eukaryote. RNAcentral's name for it is "SSU rRNA". It matches the Rfam family "Eukaryotic small subunit ribosomal RNA", at positions 121 to 565 of the family's 1831-position model. The record is from RNAcentral.
UGGAUAGUCACAGUUACUUGGAUAACUGCGGUAAUUCUGGAGCUAAUACAUGGCACUACAAGCCCCAACUCACGAAGGGGCGCUUUUAUUAGAUCAAAACCAAACGGCUUCGGCUGUACUCUUGGUGAUUCUGAAUAACUUUGGGCUGAUCGCAUAGCCUUGCGCUGGCGACAUAUCCUUCCAAGGUGUGCCCUAUCAACUGUCGACUGUGGCAUAGACGCCCACAGUGGUUUUGACGGGUAACGGGGAAUCAGGGUUCGAUUCCGGAGAGGGAGCCUUAAAAACGGCUACCACAUCUAAGGAAGGCAGCAGGCACGCAAAUUACCCAAUGACCGAAGGUCGAGGUAGUGACGAAAAAUAACGAUACCGGACUCAUCCGAGGCCCGCUAAUUGGAAUGAGUACACUUUAAAACCGUCCCCGAGGAUCUAUUGGAGGGCAAGUCUGGU